AAAAAAACAAACCAUAGGUUUUCGUGUCCAACGUUUAACUGUCUGUCUUAUAUAAAAUUUUUUUAUAAUUAGUAUUUUCAUUAUUGUUAGAUGAUAAAAUAUGAUUAAUACUUUAUGCGUGACUUGUCUUUUUAAUUAUUUUCAUAAUUUUUUAAAUAAGACGGAUGGUCAAACGUGGAACACGGAAACACAAGAUUUGUCUUUUU
This is a microRNA precursor of Oryza sativa Indica Group (long-grained rice), 206 nucleotides long. It matches the Rfam family "MIR812 microRNA precursor family". The record is from Rfam. Lineage: Eukaryota; Viridiplantae; Streptophyta; Magnoliopsida; Poales; Poaceae.